Molecule: ribosomal RNA, 253 nt
Filed under: uncultured bacterium
Lineage: Bacteria
Description: partial 16S ribosomal RNA
Rfam family: Bacterial small subunit ribosomal RNA
Source: RNAcentral
UACAGGGGGGGCAAGCGUUGUUCGGAAUUACUGGGCGUAAAGGGUUCGUAGGUGGCCACUUAAGUCAGACGUGAAAUCCCUCAGCUUAACUGGGGAACUGCGUCUGAUACUGGGUGGCUUGAGUGCAGGAGAGGAAUGCGGAAUUCCAGGUGUAGCGGUGAAAUGCGUAGAUAUCGGGAGGAACACCUGUGGCGAAGGCGGCCACCUGGUUGGAUACUGACGCUGAGACGCGAAAGCGUGGGGAGCAAACAGG